RNAcentral lists this ribosomal RNA (510 nucleotides) under uncultured Bacteroidales bacterium. RNAcentral's name for it is "partial 16S ribosomal RNA". The record is from RNAcentral. Lineage: Bacteria; Pseudomonadati; Bacteroidota; Bacteroidia; Bacteroidales.
CACGGAGUUAGCCGAUGCUUUUUCUUCGGGUACUCUCGACGCGGGACGCGUCCCGCUCUUUGCUCCCCGACAAAAGAGGUUUACAACCCGUAGGGCCGUCUUCCCUCACGCGACUUGGCUGGUUCAGGCUCUCGCCCAUUGACCAAUAUUCCUCACUGCUGCCUCCCGUAGGAGUCUGGUCCGUGUCUCAGUACCAGUGUGGGGGACCUUCCUCUCAGAACCCCUACGCAUCGUCGCCUUGGUGGGCCGUUACCCCGCCAACUAGCUAAUGCGGCGCAUGGCCAUCCGCCACCGGUGUUACCCUUUGGUCCCGCCGGGAUGCCCCGGCAGGACGUUAUGCGGUAUUAGACGGAAUUUCUUCCGCUUAUCCCCCUGUGGCGGGCAGGUUCCAUACGUGUUACUCACCGUGCGCCGGUCGCGGCAGGAGUAUGCUACUCCCCGCUCGCCCUCCGACUUGCUAUGUGUUAGGCCUGUCGCUAGCGUUCAUCCGUCGAGCCAGAUCAAAACUCU